RNAcentral lists this ribosomal RNA (468 nucleotides) under uncultured bacterium. RNAcentral describes it as "partial 16S ribosomal RNA". It matches the Rfam family "Bacterial small subunit ribosomal RNA", at positions 28 to 507 of the family's 1533-position model. The record is from RNAcentral.
GACGAACGCUGGCGGCGUGCUUAACACAUGCAAGUCGAACGGAAAGGCCCUGCUUUUGUGGGGUGCUCGAGUGGCGAACGGGUGAGUAACACGUGAGUAACCUGCCCUUGACUUUGGGAUAACUUCAGGAAACUGGGGCUAAUACCGGAUAGGAGCUCCUGCUGCAUGGUGGGGGUUGGAAAGUUUCGGCGGUUGGGGAUGGACUCGCGGCUUAUCAGCUUGUUGGUGGGGUAGUGCCUUACCAAGGCUUUGACGGGUAGCCGGCCUGAGAGGGUGACCGGCCACAUUGGGACUGAGAUACGGCCCAGACUCCUACGGGAGGCAGCAGUGGGGAAUAUUGCACAAUGGGCGGAAGCCUGAUGCAGCAACGCCGCGUGCGGGAUGACGGCCUUCGGGUUGUAAACCGCUUUCGCCUGUGACGAAGCGUGAGUGACGGUAAUGGGUAAAGAAGCACCGGCUAACUACGUG